RNAcentral lists this long non-coding RNA (483 nucleotides) under Monodelphis domestica (gray short-tailed opossum). RNAcentral's name for it is "lncRNA (ENSMODG00000030458.2)". Lineage: Eukaryota; Metazoa; Chordata; Mammalia; Didelphimorphia; Didelphidae. The record is from RNAcentral.
UUCAAAAAAGAAUACUUGCUUUCCCUGGGCUGCUGAGGCCCAGCACACACAUACACAGCAGGACACAGAGAAAUAUGAGGUCUUUCAGCGCGGCAAGCUUGUGUCAUUUUUCACUGCUAGAAGAUGAAAUCUAAAUUCAUUAGCAAGGCACAAUUAAGUUCAUGCCUCUAUCUGAGGCCCAUUCACAGCUCCGCUUUACGCUUUGUCUUGGUAGUGGGCCGCCUUUGCCUGAAUGGAACUGGCAAACCUGUCCCAUUACUGGCAAGUCAUGAGAUAUCUGUAUCCUAAUUCCAUUCCAUCUGUACUCUGUUUGGAUUCUUUAGUGGCCAAUGCUAUCUACACAGUAGCUCUUUCAGCUAAUGGAAUAUUAGAAUUUCUGAUUUGUUCUGGUCUACCAUAAUUUCCUGGGAUAUCAGAACAACUUUUGCUGUAUUAUUCUAUGCAUCAAGCUGAUUAUAAUUUCACAUUUGGAUUUUAGUGGAG